AAUGGUCUUGUUAUUGGAAUGAGAACAAUUUAAAUAACUUAACGAGGAUCAAUUAGAGGGCAAGUCUGGUGCCAGCAGCCGCGGUAAUUCCAGCUCUAAUAGCGUAUAUUAAAGUUGUUGCAGUUAAAAAGCUCGUAGUCGGAUGUCGGGCUCGGGCAGGCUGUCGGCUUCGGUCGGACGGCAGGCUCGGGUCCUUCUGCCUGAGGAACCCGUCGCACUUAAUUGGGCGGCGUGGGGACGCAGGCCGUUUACUUUGAAAAAAUUAGAGUGUUCAAAGCAGGCCUACGCUUGAAUACAUUAGCAUGGAAUAAUGGAACAGGACUUUGGUGCUAUUUUGUUGGUUUAUGGGACCGAAGUAAUGAUUAACAGGGACAGUUGGGGCCGUUUAUAUUUCGUUGUCAGAGGUGAAAUUCUUGGAUUUACGAAAGAUAAACUUCUGCGAAAGCAUUCGGCAAGGAUGUUUUCACUGAUCAAGAACGGAAGUUAGGGGAUCGAAGACGAUCAGAUACCGUCGUAGUCUUAACCAUAAACUAUGCCGACUAGGGAUCAGUGGAUGUCAAUUUGCGACUCCAUUGGCACCUUGUGAGAAAUCAAAGUUUUUGGGUUCCGG
RNAcentral lists this ribosomal RNA (610 nucleotides) under uncultured Cryptophyta. RNAcentral's name for it is "SSU rRNA". It matches the Rfam family "Eukaryotic small subunit ribosomal RNA", at positions 496 to 1117 of the family's 1831-position model. Lineage: Eukaryota; Cryptophyceae. The record is from RNAcentral.